CCUACGGGCGGCUGCAGUGGGGAAUAUUGCACAAUGGGGGAAACCCUGAUGCAGCGACGCCGCGUGAGUGAUGAAGGUUUUCGGAUCGUAAAGCUCUAUCAGCAGGGAAGAACGUGACGUUACCUGAUCAAGAAGCACCGGCUAACUACGUGCCAGCAGCCGCGGUAAUACGUAGGGGGCAAGCGUUAUCCGGUUUUACUGGGUGGAAAGGGAGCGUAGACGGCAGCGCAAGUCAGGAGUGAAAUCCCGGGGCUUAACCCCGGAACUGCUUUUGAAACUGUGCAGCUAGAGUGCAGGAGAGGCAAGUGGAAUUCCGAGUGUAGCGGUGAAAUGCGUAGAUAUUAGGAGGAACACCAGUGGCGAAGGCGGCUUACUGGAACGUAACUGACGUUGAGGCUCGAAAGCGUGGGGAGCAAACAGGAUUAGAUACCCUAGUAGUC
This 440-nucleotide ribosomal RNA is filed under the name uncultured bacterium. RNAcentral's name for it is "partial 16S ribosomal RNA". It matches the Rfam family "Bacterial small subunit ribosomal RNA", at positions 338 to 795 of the family's 1533-position model. The record is from RNAcentral.